This 466-nucleotide ribosomal RNA is filed under the name uncultured bacterium. RNAcentral describes it as "bacterial SSU rRNA". It matches the Rfam family "Bacterial small subunit ribosomal RNA", at positions 355 to 825 of the family's 1533-position model. The record is from RNAcentral.
UAAGGAAUAUUGGUCAAUGGAGGCAACUCUGAACCAGCCAUGCCGCGUGCAGGAAGAAGGCCCUAUGGGUCGUAAACUGCUUUUGAACAAGAGAAAACCCCGGUACGUGUACUGGGUUGAUAGUAUUGUUAGAAUAAGCAUCGGCUAACUUCGUGCCAGCAGCCGCGGUAAGACGAAGGAUGCAAGCGUUAUCCGGAUUCAUUGGGUUUAAAGGUGCGUAGGCGGACUGAUAAGUCAGUGGUGAAAUCUCUCGGCUUAACCGAGAAACUGCCAUUGAUACUGUUAGUCUAGAGUACAGAUGAUGUGGGCGGAAUAUGACAUGUAAGUGGUGAAAUACUUAGAUAUGUCAUAGAACACCGAUUGCGAAGGCAGCUGACUGGACCUUGAUUGACGCUGAGGCACGAAAGCGUGGGAGCGAACAGGAUUAGAUACCCCAGUAGUCCCUGAGCGGGCUGGCAAGGCGCAU